GGUGUUCUGGAUCCGUAUCAAGAUUUCUUCAGACACCAGACCAUCAGUACUGAUGAAACUCUUAAGAUAAAUGAAGCG
Non-coding RNA from Schistosoma haematobium, 78 nucleotides. Lineage: Eukaryota; Metazoa; Platyhelminthes; Trematoda; Strigeidida; Schistosomatidae. The record is from Rfam.